AUGAACGCUGGCGGCGUGCCUAAUACAUGCAAGUCGAGCGAACAGACGAGGAGCUUGCUCCUCUGACGUUAGCGGCGGACGGGUGAGUAACACGUGGAUAACCUACCUAUAAGACUGGGAUAACUUCGGGAAACCGGAGCUAAUACCGGAUAAUAUAUUGAACCGCAUGGUUCAAUAGUGAAAGACGGUUUUGCUGUCACUUAUAGAUGGAUCCGCGCCGCAUUAGCUAGUUGGUAAGGUAACGGCUUACCAAGGCAACGAUGCGUAGCCGACCUGAGAGGGUGAUCGGCCACAUUGGAACUGAGACACGGUCCAGACUCCUACGGGAGGCAGCAGUAGGGAAUCUUCCGCAAUGGGCGAAAGCUUGACGGAGCAACGCCGCGUGAGUGAUGAAGGUCUUCGGAUCGUAAAACUCUGUUAUUAGGGAAGAACAAAUGUGUAAGUAACUAUGCACGUCUUGACGGUACCUAAUCAGAAAGCCACGGCUAACUACGUG
Molecule: ribosomal RNA, 496 nt
Filed under: uncultured bacterium
Lineage: Bacteria
Description: partial 16S ribosomal RNA
Rfam family: Bacterial small subunit ribosomal RNA
Source: RNAcentral